CUUGAACGCUGGCGGCAGGCUUAACACAUGCACGUCGAGCGAGCGGCGGCCGGGUGAGUAAUGUCUGGGGAUCUGCCCGAUGGAGGGGGAUAACUACUGGCAACGGUAGCUAAUACCGCAUACUAUCGGAUGUACCCAGAUGGGAUUAGCUAGGAGGUGGGGUAAAGGCUCACCUAGGCGACGAUCCCUAGCUGGUCUGAGAGGAUGAUCAGGCGAACUGGGACUGAGACACGGCCCAGACUCCUACGGGAGGCAGCAGUGGGGAAUAUUGCACAAUGGGCGAAAGCCUGAUGCAGCCAUGCCGCGUGUAGGAAGAAGGCCUUAGGGUUGUAAAGUACUUGCAGCGGGGAGGCGUUACCCGCAGAAGAAGCACCGGCGAACUCCGUGCCAGCAGCCGCGGUAAUAG
This 406-nucleotide ribosomal RNA is filed under the name uncultured bacterium. RNAcentral's name for it is "partial 16S ribosomal RNA". It matches the Rfam family "Bacterial small subunit ribosomal RNA", at positions 29 to 526 of the family's 1533-position model. The record is from RNAcentral.